Molecule: signal recognition particle RNA, 300 nt
Filed under: Loxodonta africana (African savanna elephant)
Lineage: Eukaryota; Metazoa; Chordata; Mammalia; Proboscidea; Elephantidae
Description: Metazoan signal recognition particle RNA
Rfam family: Metazoan signal recognition particle RNA
About the family: The signal recognition particle (SRP) is a universally conserved ribonucleoprotein. It is involved in the co-translational targeting of proteins to membranes. The eukaryotic SRP consists of a 300-nucleotide 7S RNA and six proteins: SRPs 72, 68, 54, 19, 14, and 9.
Source: Rfam by way of RNAcentral
GCCGGGCGCGGUGGCGCGCGCCUGUAGUCCCAGCUACCCGGGAGGCUGAGGCUGGAGGAUCGCUUGAGUCCAGGAGUUCUGGGCUGUAGUGCGCUGUGCCGAUCGGGUGUCCGCACUAAGUUCGGCAUCAAUAUGGUGACCUCCCGGGAGCGGGGGACCACCAGGUUGCCUAAGGAGGGGUGAACCGGCCCAGGUCGGAAACGGAGCAGGUCAAAACUCCCGUGCUGAUCAGUAGUGGGAUCGCGCCUGUGAAUAGCCACUGCACUCCAGCCUGGACAAUAUAGCGAGACCCUGUCUCUU